AACGGCUACUAAGGAGGACAUAUA
RNAcentral lists this non-coding RNA (24 nucleotides) under Arabidopsis thaliana (thale cress). Lineage: Eukaryota; Viridiplantae; Streptophyta; Magnoliopsida; Brassicales; Brassicaceae. The record is from RNAcentral.